GUCUUAAGGUGAGAAAAGAGAUUAAGAAGUGCAUAUAUUCAUGAGUUGGUUAAGGUGAGGUUAAAUUUUGGGAGAAUCUUUCGAGACUGUUAAGACAUCUGAGCAAAUAUGGUUGGUUAGAUGCAUAAUAGUAAACUUAGAGGAAGAGCGUAACAAAAAGGAGAGGAGAGUUGGUUACCAGUACAGUGAACUAGUCAAUUGAGUUACAUUCAUUUUUUGUUUUUUCAAAAAUAUACAAGGAGAGAACUCUACAUUUACACCAAAUCAGAUCCUGAAAAUCAGGAAUUAUUUGUGAAUACUAACAUACCGGUAUCCAAGAAUUCAUAUUUAUCCAUCAAUCAGUAUAUUCAAUCCCACAACCAAAUCAAAUUUCAUUUCUGCUAAUGUUUUUCUAUUUACAUAAGGCUUUGAUCCUAAGAUGCCCACAAAAUUAUACUUUAACUAAGAAAAACUGUGGCAUUAGUUUCAAUGUUCUACUCAAUGAGUCACUACAGGCCAUAUUACUAAUCUGUACAUACACAGAGGCUAAAACACGCAAUAGUUUUUAGGACACAAUCUUCAAAAGCAAUUUUAAGGAACCGAAAUUAUGAACAAGGUUUAUAAAUCUGGUGUUCUCACCGGAAUAGGGAUUCCAGAUUCCUGCAAUUAGGUUAAUGCUAACGUGAGCCAUCAUCCCACCUCCACAUCCUUGUCCCCCCAUACUGUCUUCACUGUGAUAAUUAUAUCAAAUUCACCAAGCAAAGGAAAUUGGUUGAACAAUAAAACCCAUGAUAUCAAAUAUUGGAAGAAAAAUAAAAUUGAAUUGAGCAAUAAAUAUUUUCUUAGCAAAAAAUAAGAUUUUCAAUAGAAUAAAACAAUGGGAACGAAUUCAACGCUCAGCAGCUCGAAAAAGAAACCCUAAUCGAAGGAAACCACUGAAAAUUGCCAAAAACAAAUUUUCCGGCAAGAUUGGAAAAAAAAUUUGGACCAUUUCUCGAUUUGUGCGUGUCAUCCUUGCGCAGGGGCCAUGCUAAUCUUCUCUGUAUCGUUCCAAUUUUAUCGGAUGUCCCCGAAGGGACAAUGGACUCUCUUCUCGCAUCGCAAUAUAAAAUGAAAGUUAUUACUGUGUUUAGUCGAUGUGGGACUAGAGUAGUCGAGAUUUAG
This 1143-nucleotide long non-coding RNA is filed under the name Olea europaea subsp. europaea. The record is from RNAcentral. Lineage: Eukaryota; Viridiplantae; Streptophyta; Magnoliopsida; Lamiales; Oleaceae.